Molecule: non-coding RNA, 541 nt
Filed under: Oryza sativa Indica Group (long-grained rice)
Lineage: Eukaryota; Viridiplantae; Streptophyta; Magnoliopsida; Poales; Poaceae
Also listed under: 1 other name
Source: RNAcentral
CCAAUUUUUACCAAAGACACCUUGCAAUUUUAACCAAAUAUUUUUUAAAUUUCGUUGCUCCACCGUUCCAAUUUUUGCCAAAUGCACCUUGCAAUUUUAUCCAAAUAUUUUUUAAAAAAUUUCGUUGCUCCACCGUUCCGUACCAUUUAAACAUCAUGCAAAUAUAUUCUUUUUAGUAAACCAUCAUGCAUAUAUAUUCCUUUUAGUAAAUUUCACAAAACUAUAUAUAUGUUUUAUCGAACUAUCAAAAAACUACAGAUUUAAAACAUUGUAUCACAUAUAACACUAAAUUUAUCACAAGAUUUGAUAUAUAUUGAAGUUAUGAUAAAACUAUAGAUUUUAUAGUUCAGAUCUCUAGCAUUGAUGUCAUAUAGGGCUAUAAGUGUUAUAGUUUUGUGAUUAAAUGGAUUCGAAGCCAGUAGUUUUGUGAUAAGAUUUUUUUAUUAAAUCUGUAAUUUUAUAAUACUUGAACUUAAAUCUAUUGUUUAAAUUUGUAGUUUUGUGAUAUAACAUUUUAAAUCUGUAUCUUUACUAUUUGUAG